UGCAAGUCGAGCGGAUGAAGGGAGCUUGCUCCUGGAUUCAGCGGCGGACGGGUGAGUAAUGCCUAGGAAUCUGCCUGGUAGUGGGGGAUAACGUCCGGAAACGGGCGCUAAUACCGCAUACGUCCUGAGGGAGAAAGUGGGGGAUCUUCGGACCUCACGCUAUCAGAUGAGCCUAGGUCGGAUUAGCUAGUUGGUGGGGUAAAGGCCUACCAAGGCGACGAUCCGUAACUGGUCUGAGAGGAUGAUCAGUCACACUGGAACUGAGACACGGUCCAGACUCCUACGGGAGGCAGCAGUGGGGAAUAUUGGACAAUGGGCGAAAGCCUGAUCCAGCCAUGCCGCGUGUGUGAAGAAGGUCUUCGGAUUGUAAAGCACUUUAAGUUGGGAGGAAGGGCAGUAAGUUAAUACCUUGCUGUUUUGACGUUACCAACAGAAUAAGCACCGGCUAACUUCGUGCCAGCAGCCGCGGUAAUACGAAGGGUGCAAGCGUUAAUCGGAAUUACUGGGCGUAAAAGCGCGCGUAGGUGGUUCAGCAAGUUGGAUGUGAAAUCCCCGGGCUCAACCUGGGAACUGCAUCCAAAACUACUGAGCUAUAGUACGGUAGAGGGUGGGUGGAAAUUUCC
This 623-nucleotide ribosomal RNA is filed under the name Pseudomonas sp. Its description in RNAcentral is "bacterial SSU rRNA". It matches the Rfam family "Bacterial small subunit ribosomal RNA", at positions 56 to 672 of the family's 1533-position model. Lineage: Bacteria; Pseudomonadati; Pseudomonadota; Gammaproteobacteria; Pseudomonadales; Pseudomonadaceae. The record is from RNAcentral.